Molecule: transfer RNA, 69 nt
Filed under: Gymnothorax eurostus (Abbott's moray eel)
Lineage: Eukaryota; Metazoa; Chordata; Actinopteri; Anguilliformes; Muraenidae
Description: tRNA-Trp
Rfam family: tRNA
About the family: Transfer RNA (tRNA) molecules are approximately 80 nucleotides in length. Their secondary structure includes four short double-helical elements and three loops (D, anti-codon, and T loops). Further hydrogen bonds mediate the characteristic L-shaped molecular structure. tRNAs have two regions of fundamental functional importance: the anti-codon, which is responsible for specific mRNA codon recognition, and the 3' end, to which the tRNAs corresponding amino acid is attached (by aminoacyl-tRNA synthetases). tRNAs cope with the degeneracy of the genetic code in two manners: having more than one tRNA (with a specific anti-codon) for a particular amino acid; and 'wobble' base-pairing, i.e. permitting non-standard base-pairing at the 3rd anti-codon position.
Source: RNAcentral
AGAGGCUUAGGAUAGACAGACCAGUGGCCUUCAAAGCCUCAAGCGGGAGUUAGACUCUCCCAGCCUCUG